UACGUAGGGUGCGAGCGUUAAUCGGAAUUACUGGGCGUAAAGCGUGCGCAGGCGGUUCGUUAUGUCUGUUGUGAAAGCCCCGGGCUCAACCUGGGAAUGGCAAUGGAAACUGGCGAGCUAGAGUGUGGCAGAGGGGGGUGGAAUUCCGCGUGUAGCAGUGAAAUGCGUAGAGAUGCGGAGGAACACCGAUGGCGAAGGCAGCCCCCUGGGCUAACACUGACGCUCAGGCACGAAAGCGUGGGGAGCAAACAGG
RNAcentral lists this ribosomal RNA (253 nucleotides) under uncultured bacterium. RNAcentral's name for it is "partial 16S ribosomal RNA". It matches the Rfam family "Bacterial small subunit ribosomal RNA", at positions 524 to 776 of the family's 1533-position model. The record is from RNAcentral.